GACGAACGCUGGCGGCGUGCUUAACACAUGCAAGUCGAACGGUGAAGCGCUUGCCUUUUUGGUGGGUGUGGAUGAGUGGCGAACGGGUGAGUAACACGUGAGUAACCUGCCCUCUUCUUCUGGAUAACCUCAUGAAAGUGGGGCUAAUACGGGGUAUUCCGGGUCUGUCGCAUGGCGGGUUUGGGAAAGAUUGCGCCUUUGGGUGUUUUCGGUGGGGGAUGGGCUUGCGGCCUAUCAGCUUGUUGGUGGGGUGAUGGCCUACCAAGGCGGUGACGGGUAGCCGGCCUGAGAGGGUGGACGGCCACACUGGGACUGAGACACGGCCCAGACUCCUGCGGGAGGCAGCAGUGGGGAAUAUUGCACAAUGGGCGCAAGCCUGAUGCAGCGACGCCGCGUGAGGGAUGGAGGCCUUCGGGUUGUGAACCUCUUUCGCCAGUGAAGCAGGCCUGCUCCUGUGUGGGUGGGUUGACGGUAGCUGGAUAAGAAGCGCCGGCUAACUACGUG
Molecule: ribosomal RNA, 504 nt
Filed under: uncultured bacterium
Lineage: Bacteria
Description: partial 16S ribosomal RNA
Rfam family: Bacterial small subunit ribosomal RNA
Source: RNAcentral